This 8742-nucleotide long non-coding RNA is filed under the name Heterocephalus glaber (naked mole-rat). RNAcentral's name for it is "lncRNA (ENSHGLG00000047642.1)". The record is from RNAcentral. Lineage: Eukaryota; Metazoa; Chordata; Mammalia; Rodentia; Bathyergidae.
GGAAGCUUUCAGACACAGGUAAAUCCAUCCGCUCAGUUGGGAAGCUCCCCAGGAUUAGGCCCCCGCCUGGCUGAUUCCUGGGUCUGAACACGAAUGGAAGGGGGGGUGAAAAUGGCAGUGAAACCACAGUAGAUCUUUGAGAAGUUUUCAAGUAAUUCUCCUUUCCCCUCCAGGGGAGCUAGAGAAGGGGAGGGGCUGUCCAAUAGAGGAUCCAAGGUAGGCUCCACUGGGCAGAGGGCCAAAUAGGCAAGAGGGCAAGUUCAAAGGGAUGGCCGUGAAGCCCAGGGGGAGCUGGUGAGGGGCAGCACUGCCCACACAGCACUGUGGCCGAAGCCGUGUCAUUCAGACGCGUCAUUGGGAGGAAUCAGUGUUCUUCUCUGACUAGGCCUGUGUCUUUUUCCUGCCGGGCCCCAGGCUGGGACCCUCUUGCAUUGUGGGCAGACACCCUGGCCCCAUCGUUGCAUGGUGGCCCAGGCUUCAACUGGGGGUGGGGAGCAUCAGCAUGGUUCCAAGGGUGGAAUUUCCUAGUAGCCACGAGCUUUCAGGGUACCUGGUCUGCAGCGGGUAGAAGAAGAAAGGCUGCAGACUUCUCCCAGGUGGCGCCUGACCCCAGAGAGCGAAGGACUCAGCCUCCAGAUUCACAGAACUUCUUUGAGCCACUAGUUCAUGGCCAGGCCUUUCCAUGAGUGGAGACUUCUGAGAACCUCGCUAGCUCUGGUGUCGCCAUCAACCUAGCCCACAGUGGUGAUUGGGAAGGGCCUUGUGCUGUUUCUGGAGGAAGAGUUUUGAGCUGGGUUUGGGGUAGAGCAGAUUACCCUCCAUCUUCCUUCCUCCAGCCUGUACUGACCAGAUACACCCACUUAACCAGUCUAAGCUGAGGCCGCCCCUACACCCAGGUUGGGCACCAGUUUUGCCAGUCUGCUGUAGGGGGUAGAUGCUCUGGUGCCGUCUUGGUAGGAAGGAGCUGCCAGAGCCAAGGACAGAAUGGGCUGUCUUGGGGGUACCAAGUUUCCUGGUAUCUUUCAGACAGCCUGGUUGCGCACUGGGCAGUGAUGCCGAGAAGGAUCAGAAAUCAGAUGACCUUGCAGGUCUUGGGCCCUCUGACACCCAGCUUGGUUUUGUUCAGUGGGGCCAGCUUGUGGGAAGGGGGUGAGUAGACAGAGUGAGAAUCAUUUGGACCUUCUUUUUUUUGGUACCAGGGAUCGCACUUGGGUCCUUGCACCUGCAAGGCAGGUGGCAGAACCACUGAGCCAAAUCCCCAGCUCUGGACCUUCUUGAUAGAAAGUGUUUGAGACAGGCAGCUCUGGGCUAUGAGGUGGCCUUGGCCUUGACCAGCCUGGACACUGGUUAUAAAACAGGCACAAUACAGGACAGCAGAGCCAUUCUCCCACAGGAGGCAAGGCAGAGAAGGCAGGUCUGGAAAGGCCCCUAGGGAGAUAUCGGCCUAGGCCCCUGUUCCUGAGUGAGGGCCAAGCAAGGGGGCCACCAGAUCUGCUCCCCACGAGAGACUUGGGGGGUUGGAAGCCAAAUCAGCCUAGCCCUCCUCGGCACUGCCGAUCUUCCCUGCCCCCUGCAGCCAGGGAAUCUGGCUGAGUUGCAGCUUGGGUUUUUAUGAUGGAAAAAUAAAAUAAAUGGAGGCACCUUUGGAGGGCUGAGUCACGGCAGCAACAUCUCCUCAUUAAAGCUGUUGCCCCUGGCUCAAGGCCCUGCCCACUUCCCCAGGCAGGGGACUGGGUGGGGCUCGGGAAGGCUCUUGGCCCUGAGUGCCCUCCUCCUUGGACCCUGCCAGGGGCAUCCCCACCGUCCAGCAGCCGCCCUGGGCUGGCCUGCUGUUCUUAGAGGGGCCACUGCCAGCCCCAAGCCCCAAGGACUGGCGUCUAACCCUGCCCUCCUGGUGCUGGCUUUUAAACCUUGACCACUCUGGCUGCUGCCACCACAGCCACCACACCUGCUGCCUCUUCUUCCUCCCCUCUCCUCCCCUCUCCCUCUGCUCCUUUUCCUCCUCCUCCUCCUUUUCCUUCUCCUGGUCCUCAUCUUCAGAGCCCAAAGGAAGUUGCUCUGUAGCAGUAUUACUCUUGGGUCCCCAAGGUGAACAGCAGCUCCUGGGGUAGCCGGGGCCAGGGGCCAGCGAGAGCAGGAAGGGGUUGAGGAGGAGGAAGGCUGUGGCCUGUGUGGAAGGAGGAAGGACUACCUCACUGGGAUGGCUUUGGAAGGUGGCAGCCUGGUGAUCAGCGCCUCACACCUCAGGCCCUGUAGGGGAAGAGCCCCUGGGCAGGUUGGUCAGGCUGCAAGUCAGCAGCUCUUGGGCAGCUCCUGUGGAGGAGGCACCAAAACAUAGGCUGCCUGGUCCCCCACCCCCAGGUCUGCAGGCCUGCUCAGUAGAAGUCAGCUGGGACCUGAGAGAUUUGUUUAGGUGUGACCUUACAGAUUCUCCCUUCACCACCCACACCAUGCAGACUUCCACCAAGCCUGUCUUCUCCGAGUCCUUCUCACACACACCCCCCGCCCCCAGCAGCUCCUGCUUCCCGUUGUGCAACCACAUUUUUCUGCCUUUUUGGCCAGGCUGCCCCUGCUUCAGCAGGCAGGCCCUUCCUACUCACCUUCCCUGCCACUCCCACCCUUGCCAGCCUCACACCCAGUUGGCCCUGGGAAGAGAUAAGAGAGAAGUGGCUGGCUAGGGGCCUGUUGCUCUGAAGAUCUGCUUCUACCUGUGACAUUGCUGUGCCAGGACAGCACUCACACUAAUGUGUCCCAAGCUCAGGAGGCCAGGGCCAAGGCCAGGGCCUUGUUUUUUUCUGCUGUUGCUACUUCUAAUGGUGACCAUCAGAUGUGACCAUUAGCCACUGUGUUGACGUCUCCCAGUGCUUGGUACGGUCUCAGACUGCGUGCCUUCCGCCUCAGUGCUGGUGUGAUUGAUUGAUGGAUGGAUGUGCCUCUUCCCCAAGUGCCUGCCCAGCUUCUGAGUGGGGCAGAAGGAGGAAGGCAGGAAAUGCUAGCUAUUCCCUUGGGACCUGGGUUUUAGCUCCUCAAGAGCUUUCUAGGCCUGGUUUACAGGAAGAAAUGGGACUGAGGUCAAGGUUGAUGUGAAGGGGUGAGAUGACAUAAGGACAAAGGUAGGCAUUGCAUAGUUGAAUGGGGGCCCCAGAGCACCUACCAGCUGUGACCAUGACAUGCAGCAGGGAGGGCUUGGAGUGUGAGGUCAGAAGAGCAGUAGCCAGUGUGGCCUGAGCCUCUGCUCUGCUUCCUCCCUGGCCCGUUGCCACCUCCUCUGUGUCUUCCCUCCUGUCCAGCUGAUGGCCUCCUCUUCCUGUAGCAUGUGUAUCCUUCCAGGUGGGACCCCUUCAGCUGGUGUACCCAGUGCAGGCAGGGAGGCCAGGCAGAGGGCCUGGGGCACAUGCUGAGGCACAGCCCAGACUGCCAGGGCCCCAGACCCCAGCCCCAGAGUGGAAAGGGGAUCUGCUGAGUUGGCAGGGGAUCUGCUCUGAGGUUGUCCAUGGACCUGCCCUCUUCCCCCUCUGGGGCUCUUCCAGCCCCACAGGCUCAGCCAGUGCCAUGAGACCCCCUCCUGCAGCCAAGCAUGCCCACUCUUGUUGCCUCCUGGGCUGAGGUGAGGACACUGUCUGGCUUUGGGGGAGAAAGUGAGUGGGGAGAGAGAACAGAUCCCAUUUGUGGUCCCAAAGGCCAAGGAUUCCUAGAGGAAGCCUUUCAAAUUGAGCUUUUCUUACAAGGGCUUUGUCCUUGAACCUAGAGGUCCCCAGGAGAGACCAUGCUGCAUGACGACAGGAGACCAGAGGAGCCAGGUGGAGCCUCAGGCCUGGGACUCCAGUGUGGUAGGAAGGUGGCAGUGUCCAGGAGGCCAGCAAGGAGACUGCUGGCAGUUUGUGUCACUGGAAGCACACCUUUUCCCUGGCUGUGAUCUUUACUUGCCUCUGACCAGAACCUCCCUCCCUGCAGCCCAAGAACCAUGGGCACUGCAAGCCAGGGCCCCUGGUCAACCACAGGAGGAUGGCUGAGGAGCGCUGCUGCCCAGCAGGGGGCGCCCCACCAUAUCUGCCCCAACCCUCACGGGGACUGGGACCUGGGUCCCACCUUGGUCCAGGCUUUCGGUCCAGGGCUGGGGGGGGGGGAGCCUGCCCUCCCCACCUCCAGAGGUUCCUUGGCUGAGUUUGUUUUGCCAGGGUGACCUGUUUAAUCAUCUCAUUUUCUGGUGGCCGUUUAUUCCUCGUUUCCAUGGUUACGGCCCCAUUAAGGGGAGAAGCAAUAAGGCAGCGAGUCAAACAGGUAAUAAAAACAUUAAAGCCCAUGUGCACAGAGCGAGGAUGGGGCGGGGGAGGGGGCGCAGUGAGGUGAGACGGCCCAGGGAGCAGGCCUCGGCCACCAGCCCCACAGGAAGGCUGUUCCCCAGCUUAGGCGUCCCGUCCCCAGCCCUCCGUCUCCUGGGCCACAGGCUGCACUUGGAGGUAAAACAGGAAGGAGCGAAGUGAGAGGGAGAGUGACAAAAGCUCCCCCAGGACUGUUCCCAGCUGGUUGUGUGACCUGUUUCCAGGCUCCACCUCGCCCUCCCCUGGCGGGGGUGGGGGAUGAUUUCUGACGUUGUUUUGAGCUCUUGAAUUUUUUUGCCAACUUUAUCAGAAAGCAUAUUUGUGGUGAGUGCUGCUAACAGGGCCAGUCUGAUGAGUAAAUAUUCCUGGUGUGGACGGCCCUGUGACCUUGAGAGGGAAGAGCGCAGCGGCAGAGGCCAGGGCAUCGGCAGGAGCCAGGGCUUGCGGGGAGAGGAGGGGCUCUGUGCUGGAGAGGCUAGGCACUCCUGUCCCAGUGGGGAGCUCUUCCUGGGAAGGGGCCAGGUGGGGGGUGAGUGGGCUCUGUUUGUCCCCCAGCACUCUCUUCCCAGCAGUAGGGUCUGUCCUGAGCACAAGUGACACACAGUUCAGGCUGGGUUGUGUGACUUGCUGAGGAGCUGUAGCCAGUUCUCCUGGGGCUCUCUUCCUGUCCUACGCCAAGGGUGAAAUGCUGUGUGGAAAAGCAGCCGCCGGCCCAGGCCCCUGAGCCCCAGGUGCACCCACCUCCCAGUGUUGCUCCCUGCCCUUCCUGCAUGUCCAGCCCUCUGCCCUGCCCUCGAGGCUGGCCGGAGACUGCAGGGAGGAGAGCAGCAGGAAGAGUGCAGCAGGGCUGGAGUGGUGCUGCCUGAGGGUGCUGCACCGGGGCCAUUGCUCAGGGAGCAGAGAGGGCUGGGGCCAGCUCAGAGUCCCUCCAGGCUGAUGAGGAGCUUGCUUUCCUGUUCUCUCCCCUGUUGCGAUCCCCUGCAAACACAUGGAGGCCUGGGUCUCUGAUUAUUAAUUUCAAAGUUGAUUCUGACUUGAGAGGGGAGAGAGAAGGUAUGGGAAAUGGGGAAACCCUUUGGCUGGGAACUGUGCCUUGGGAGCAGGCCUAGAUGAGUUAAUAUUCUGAUCAAACAAUUAAAAAUAGAAAAUGUUCCCUCGGCACCAGCUGCUGAGGCUCUCGGCAACUGUCACCAGCGGGUUCAGGGGGCAGGUGGUACUGGAGGGAGCUUCCCCACAAGCAGCAGAUUUCAGAGAUCGCUGUGUGCCCACUGCCACCCAGGCCCAGGACAGGAGCUCAGGGCUCCCAGUCCUCCCAGUUCCCCCAGGAGCGGGGCCUGUGCAGCUUCAGGGCCGAGCUUCUCCCCUCCAGGCCCAGCCGCUCGGUGAAGUCAUCGCCAGAUGCCUUGGUAAUUGCUUUAAGAAUCCAACUUAAAAUAAGAUGAAAACUUAUAUUCCUGGGUGAGGAGUAAUUUCCCAUCUAAUAGUAAAUUAAUGAAAGGAUUAGAGCAGGGGGGCCAGCUGGGAGCCCAUGCUCAUCUGAUAAAUGCAACGUCUCAGGCCCACCAGCUCUAGACCAGGAUGCUACUGCAUCCCAGGCCAGGCCACACUUGUGAGUUCCCCGGGGGCACACCAGGGCCGGCUCAGGUAGGGGGACACAUCCCUUGUGUGCUCACACUCCCUCCAGGGAACUGUGGGGACCGGUGGGUCAAAACCCCCAGUGAGAGAGGCUCAGGUCUGACCUCCCAUGGGCCUGAGAACCCCGUCAUCAGUUCCCCCAAGGAGGGAUCUCGGGAACAAGAACUCUGUGCAGCCUUCACCUGUUACAACUGUGUUGUCAGCAAUCAGGUGACCUUGAAGUCAGGUGACUAAGUGCCCACAUCCCAUGAUCCCCUCUGUCCUGGGCACACUGGGAUCAUUGAUAGCCCUGUCCAGAGGGUGGCCAGUGGGCUGCUUGACAUGGCUACUCCCUCUGGGCUCCGGAGAGCACAAGCACCUUGGACACUGAAUCUGUCCUCUCCACCUGAGUCUGCCUCGCUCAUGAUAACCAAGGCUUCUCUGUGGGCUGCUGUGUUCAGCCAGGUGCUAUGUCCUAGGUGUGUGGCCAUGCACCCUGCCAGCACCCCCAACAGUGGCGCACUGCCUGGAGGCCUGAUGGGCUUGGAAAAGGGCUUGCAGCUGCGACCCCAUCUCUUUAACUCUGAGCCCUCUCUCCCCUGGAUCACUGCAGGGUGGCUUCUGGAGAGGAGUGGACCACACAACCCCUCCCCUCUGAGUUUACCCAGCACUUUCCUUCAGUGAAUGUCAGCUAAGGCCACACCUAAUAUCCCACCUCUCAUUAGCUCCUUCGGAGAAAGACAGGAAUUGUCCUGUUUCACAGGUGGGAGGGCUGGAGGAGCAGCAGCUCACUGGGAGAGUGCUUGCCUAGCAUGUCUGAGGCCCUGGGUUCAAUACCCACCCCCCCCUUCUGCCAAAGCACCACAAAUAGACAAACAGAAACACAGGUGGAGAAACAGGAGGCCCAGAGACUGCCGGGUUUGUUCCCAAAUGCCAGGAGACAGACACAGCGUGGAGCUUCCUUCCACGGGGAACGUAGGCUUCCCCGAGGACUGUACCACAUGGCAGGGCUGAGUGGAGGCGCCCGGCUUCUGACCCUAGGUAUGUACUGUGCUGCCUGGCCUGCAUCCCAAAGUCUCUGGGCCCCAUGUGUAUCCCACCUGUCCUCUGUGGUCAUAUCCCUGGGCCUCACAUGCAGCGCAGUGGCUGAUGGAUGUGAAUUCAGAGCUUUUUGCAGGAAAGUCUCCUUGUCUAAAGACUUCUAUUUUGCCCAUCUCCCCAGAAAGGGGUGCUCCCACAUCUGCAGGGGCCAGGGCACUCUGGCUUGUCCUCCUGGUGAAAGGAAGUGAACAGGCUGGACGAAGGGCCCUUCAGGAAGUCUAAAUGAGCAGGCGUUCUAGCGGAUGCAUGUUUGUGUGCUGUGUUUCUGUGAAACCAGAGAUUUUGCGGAAAGGGAAGCUGGGGACAGUCCCCUUGGUUUCCUAGGAGACUGCUUUGGUUAGCUCAGGAGUGGGGAUCCCCACUGGCCUCCCUUGCCACUAGAAGUAGCAGCACUGCCUUGGAAGUGCCAGGAUCCUGCUGCUGCUUUGCAGACAGCUGUCCCAGAUCAGGACCUUGGUGUGGGGGCUGUACUGAGUCACUUGGGCUUUGCUGGGAUGGAGCCUGAGAGACGACCAACUUCUUACCUAGAGUGGACUGCACUUUGCUUUUGGGAUGGAGCACAGCUUGGUGUUCUUGGGAGAACUUGUGAUGCACCAGUGGCCUAUCCACCCUCUGUCCCACACCUACCCCCAACCCAGAGGAAGGAGUUAUGGAGCAGUAGGGCUGAGAAUUCCUAGUCUAAACAUCCCAGGAAAGCGUGCUCAGGGAGGGAGCCAAGCCAGAACCACAGAUGGUGUGAUCCAGAUCGUAACAGGGAGGGGGGUGGCUUUGAACAGUGGAUGUUACGUGGCAGUUGCUGUUCAAGCAGACAGAUUGGUGAAUUCCAGGCUGCAGGGAUCUGAGCAGGCCCUUGUUUAUUUAUCCCCUACUUGGGGCUGGGUGAAUGGGUGGGACAGACAGAAGGACUGAUAGGGCAGGAGGUCGACAGCCAGCCUAGGAGCACCCACCUCAGCCUGCCAACCAUCCCAUCCCAUGCGCCGGCCAGUCACCAUCCUACAUAGGACUCCAUAGGCCCCCUUCCCUGAUGGGAACCGUGGGCAGGGCUUCAGCCCAGAGCCAAGCUUCUGCUCUAUUCCAGGCACCAGAGUGGCAGAAAUAAAGGAGCCCUGUGCCUGCCUUCAAGGGCCUGUGCCUGGUCAGUGUUAGCAAAGUGGCCUCGGGGAAGGGCAAGACCAGGGCCCGCCUCUGCCCAGGGCCGGCACCAUCCAGUCUGGCCACAGAGGCAGACCCUUGCACUCUACCUCUCCUGUCUCGCUCUGGCUGCCUGCCACUGAGAGCACCCCUGGGAAGCCAUCCUUGCGCCUGCCGUCCAGGGCCAGAGGUUCAGGGCCCAGGUGCCCUCGUGCUGGAGGGAGAGCCCCCAGAUGGUGGUAUCGGUGGCGUGGGCCGUGAAUCGCUGAGGUUUUCCUUUUCCAAGCAGCGCGUUUCCUAAAUUGUCUUUGACUGUGUGCAUGGGUAAUGAAAGUUUAUGCCCUUGUUAGAAGGACAGGCGGCCAGUUCCAGUUAGAACUGGGGCUGUCUCCCCUGCCAGCCCCCUCUGCCCCCUCCCCAGCAGGAGAGAGAGUAUGAACACGAUUGUGUGGGUGUGCGUGUGUGUGCGUGUACACACAAGCCCCCUCCCUGGUGGAUAAGGAGGCUGUUAGGGAAAGGAAGAGGGGACAGAAAAAAGAAAAAAUUUCCAUAUUUGUGUAAGUUGCUUUAAAAG